CAUGCAAGUCGAGCGGUAACAGAUCCAGCUUGCUGGAUGCUGACGAGCGGCGGACGGGUGAGUAAUGCAUAGGAAUCUGCCCGAUAGUGGGGGAUAACCUGGGGAAACCCAGGCUAAUACCGCAUACGUCCUACGGGAGAAAGGGGGCUCCGGCUCCCGCUAUGGGAUGAGCCUAUGUCGGAUUAGCUAGUUGGUGAGGUAACGGCUCACCAAGGCCACGAUCCGUAGCUGGUCUGAGAGGAUGAUCAGCCACAUCGGGACUGAGACACGGCCCGAACUCCUACGGGAGGCAGCAGUGGGGAAUAUUGGACAAUGGGGGAAACCCUGAUCCAGCCAUGCCGCGUGUGUGAAGAAGGCCCUCGGGUUGUAAAGCACUUUCAGCGAGGAAGAACGCCUAGCGGUUAAUACCCGCUAGGAAAGACAUCACUCGCAGAAGAAGCACCGGCUAACUCCGUGCCAGCAGCCGCGGUAAUACGGAGGGUGCAAGCGUUAAUCGGAAUUACUGGGCGUAAAGCGCGCGUAGGUGGCUUGAUAAGCCGGUUGUGAAAGCCCCGGGCUCAACCUGGGAACGGCAUCCGGAACUGUCAAGCUAGAGUGCAGGAGAGGAAGGUAGAAUUCCCGGUGUAGCGGUGAAAUGCGUAGAGAUCGGGAGGAAUACCAGUGGCGAAGGCGGCCUUCUGGACUGACACUGACACUGAGGUGCGAAAGCGUGGGUAGCAAACAGGAUUAGAUACCCUGGUAGUCCACGCCGUAAACGAUGUCGACCAGCCGUUGGGUGCCUAGCGCACUUUGUGGCGAAGUUAACGCGAUAAGUCGACCGCCUGGGGAGUACGGCCGCAAGGUUAAAACUCAAAUGAAUUGACGGGGGCCCGCACAAGCGGUGGAGCAUGUGGUUUAAUUCGAUGCAACGCGAAGAACCUUACCUACUCUUGACAUCCUGCGAAUUUGGUAGAGAUACCUUAGUGCCUUCGGGAACGCAGAGACAGGUGCUGCAUGGCU
This 999-nucleotide ribosomal RNA is filed under the name Halomonas sp. RNAcentral describes it as "bacterial SSU rRNA". It matches the Rfam family "Bacterial small subunit ribosomal RNA", at positions 54 to 1050 of the family's 1533-position model. Lineage: Bacteria; Pseudomonadati; Pseudomonadota; Gammaproteobacteria; Oceanospirillales; Halomonadaceae. The record is from RNAcentral.